Molecule: non-coding RNA, 402 nt
Organism: Lepisosteus oculatus (spotted gar)
Lineage: Eukaryota; Metazoa; Chordata; Actinopteri; Semionotiformes; Lepisosteidae
Source: RefSeq, a predicted model, not a curated record
AUGCCUGUUCUUUGUUUCUGCAGUCUGGAGGCAAGAGCAGUGCCACAUUGCACUUGGCCCGGGCCGUGUGUCGCAGAGCAGAGCGGAGCGUGGCCCCGAUUGUACGAGCAGGAGAAGCAGAUGCCAACGUAGCCAAGUACCUGAACAGGCUCAGCGAUUACCUGUUCACGUUGGCCCGGUAUGCAGCACUGAAAGAAGGAAAGAAAGAGAUCAUCUACAGGAGGCCAAAGGAAGAGGGAGAGAAAUAACCCAUCUGGGAAAGUCAUUACGUCUGCACCUUGAAGAGGCCACCGUGUAUAUACGAGAGAUGUGGCAUGUUCAGUUUUUUCCUAAGUGUUGUUGCAAUUUACUCAAAAAUGUAUAUCUUUAAUGAAAAUGCAAUGCAUCCUGAUUUUGAAAAUA